CCUACGGGAGGCAGCAGUGAGGAAUAUUGGUCAAUGGACGCAAGUCUGAACCAGCCAUGCCGCGUGCAGGAAGACGGCCCUAUGAGUUGUAAACUUCUUUUGUAAGAGGGUAAAGUGAGACACGUGUAUCUUUUUGUAAGUAUUGUAUGAAUAAGGAUCGGCUAACUCCGUGCCAGCAGCCGCGGUAAUACGGAGGAUCCGAGCGUUAUCCGGAUUUAUUGGGUUUAAAGGGUGCGUAGGCGGUCGGUUAAGUUAGUGGUGAAAGUUCGAGGCUCAACUUUGGAAUUGCAAUUGAUACUGUUCGGCUAGAGAGUAGUUGCGGUAGGCGGAAUGUGUGGUGUAGCGGUGAAACGCUUAGAGAUCAUACAGAACACCGAUUGCGAAGGCAGCUUACCAAGCUGCUUCUGACAUUGAUGCACGAAAGCGUGGGGAGCAAACAGGAUUAGAUACCCGAGUAGUC
This 460-nucleotide ribosomal RNA is filed under the name uncultured bacterium. Its description in RNAcentral is "partial 16S ribosomal RNA". It matches the Rfam family "Bacterial small subunit ribosomal RNA", at positions 338 to 795 of the family's 1533-position model. The record is from RNAcentral.